Molecule: ribosomal RNA, 253 nt
Filed under: uncultured bacterium
Lineage: Bacteria
Description: partial 16S ribosomal RNA
Rfam family: Bacterial small subunit ribosomal RNA
Source: RNAcentral
UACGUAGGCAGCGAGCGUUGUUCGGAAUUACUGGGCGUAAAGAGUGUGUAGGCGGUGCUCUAAGUUCGGUGUGAAAUCUCCCGGCUUAACUGGGAGGGUGCGCCGGAAACUGGAGUGCUCGAGCGUGGGAGAGGAAAGCGGAAUUCCUGGUGUAGCGGUGAAAUGCGUAGAUAUCAGGAGGAACACCUGCGGUGUAGACGGCUCUCUGGACCAUUGCUGACGCUGAGACACGAAAGCGUGGGUAGCAAACAGG